GUUGGAUGUGUGCAUCCUAAUUAUGCAGAUCGUGUUUAUAUAAAGAAAAUGCUUAUGAUAACAAGCCGAAGGGCCCGUUAUCAAAUAAAACAAGUAGAAGUACUUGGUACAUAAGCAAAUGAUCAAACACACAGCUGUUCUGAAUUAAAAAUGUCAACACAUAUAGCACAACUUUAUAUGGAACACAGAUUUAAGUUAUAUGGUGGCAUUCAAGCAUCAACGGAGUGCAUGGUCGAUGCUCCACUCACAGGUGGUGAAUAGCUAGAAAACUGGAGCACAUAGUUUUUACACAUAGAGACAUGGAUAAUAUUGUCACAUGUCCACACAAUAUUUUGCUGACGAUGACCAUACAACACAAAGCAACAAAAGAACAGCCAUGUGU
Non-coding RNA from Aegilops tauschii subsp. strangulata, 382 nucleotides. The record is from RefSeq and is a predicted model, not a curated record. Lineage: Eukaryota; Viridiplantae; Streptophyta; Magnoliopsida; Poales; Poaceae.